GAUUGACCUNGGAUCAGGUAGGGAUACCCGNUGAACUUAAGCAUAUAUAG
RNAcentral lists this ribosomal RNA (50 nucleotides) under Glaucomaria rupicola. Its description in RNAcentral is "partial 28S ribosomal RNA". Lineage: Eukaryota; Fungi; Ascomycota; Lecanoromycetes; Lecanorales; Lecanoraceae. The record is from RNAcentral.